Molecule: long non-coding RNA, 608 nt
Organism: Thunnus maccoyii (southern bluefin tuna)
Lineage: Eukaryota; Metazoa; Chordata; Actinopteri; Scombriformes; Scombridae
Exons: 3
Source: RefSeq, a predicted model, not a curated record
CUGAACUCUUUGACCGUUGUCUGUACCCUGACUGGACCAUUCACCAUGUCUUCCUCCAGCACAUAAAAUGCCUCAAACACUCAAUGAGACACCAGAUCCCCACCCCCCAAGAGAGACAGAGAGAUUUUGGACCGAUGUGUUAAACAUCAUCAUCAAAACAAGCACCAAAUGAGGGAAUAUCUUUUGGAAGAACGGUGUUCAUCCCUCCUGUACGAGUUCCACAGACUUUGAGAAUCUGUGAUAAGAGGGCUUGUGAUCAUUAGCGCAACUGGGAACACCCCCCAGGUGUUCCCAGGUUAUUUAAGUCUGGGCUGCAGCACAGCUCAUUCUCUGGCUGACUCUCUGGCACUCAGCCGCUGCUGCUCUAGUUCUUCCCCUCUUCCCCACAGACGCCUUUUUGAUUUGGUUAUGUUGCUUUAGUUCUUCAUCUAGGCUUUUAUGCACCAUACAACAACCCCACACACACAUCUUCCACUCAUGCACAUUACACUAUUGAUUAUACUGACAUCCAUACCCCAUAUUUUAAAUAUUUAAUUAUUUGUGGAUCUAUCUCUUGUUACUCCUGUAUCAUGGUGAGUCUCCUAUUUUGUUGGAGCUAAAGAGACGGG